UACGUAGGGCGCAAGCGUUGUCCGGAAUUAUUGGGCGUAAAGAGCUCGUAGGCGGCCUGUUACGUCUGCUGUGAAAUCCCGGGGCUUAACCCCGGGCGUGCAGUGGAUACGGGCAGGCUGGAGGCAGGCAGGGGAGAACGGAAUUCCCGGUGUAGCGGUAGAAAUGCGCAGAUAUCGGGAGGAACACCGGUGGCGAAGGCGGUUCUCUGGGCCUGUACUGACGCUGAGGAGCGAAAGCGUGGGGAGCGAACAGGAU
Molecule: ribosomal RNA, 256 nt
Filed under: uncultured bacterium
Lineage: Bacteria
Description: partial 16S ribosomal RNA
Rfam family: Bacterial small subunit ribosomal RNA
Source: RNAcentral